AAACAGCCCAAUAAGGCUGUUUCAGACUAUAGCCAAACCCCAUAUCCCUGUACCAAUAGGAUGAGAAACGUUGCAAGGGAUUUACUAAAUAUCCUAUUUCUGCGAGCGAUAGCGAGCUUAUUAAGGCUACUUUCGCUGUGCUGAAAGUGUCUAAAAUCCCUUUAAUAGCAAGAUUUUAGACACUCGGAACUGGCGAGACCUUAGGCUCGACAGUUAGGUAUGGAAUUCUUCUAAGAAGUCGCUACCGUCCGACAGCACCUAAGGAAAGUAGUAAAAAGUGACUUUUUCUUCAAAUUGAAACAGCCCAAUAAGGCUGUUUUU
RNAcentral lists this unclassified non-coding RNA (321 nucleotides) under Streptococcus canis. RNAcentral describes it as "SSRC8_2". Lineage: Bacteria; Bacillati; Bacillota; Bacilli; Lactobacillales; Streptococcaceae. The record is from RNAcentral.